UGCAAGUCGAGGGGCAGCAUGGUCUUAGCUUGCUAAGGCCGAUGGCGACCGGCGCACGGGUGAGUAACACGUAUCCAACCUGCCGUCUACUCUUGGACAGCCUUCUGAAAGGAAGAUUAAUACAAGAUGGCAUCAUGAGUCCGCAUGUUCACAUGAUUAAAGGUAUUCCGGUAGACGAUGGGGAUGCGUUCCAUUAGAUAGUAGGCGGGGUAACGGCCCACCUAGUCUUCGAUGGAUAGGGGUUCUGAGAGGAAGGUCCCCCACAUUGGAACUGAGACACGGUCCAAACUCCUACGGGAGGCAGCAGUGAGGAAUAUUGGUCAAUGGGCGAGAGCCUGAACCAGCCAAGUAGCGUGAAGGAUGACUGCCCUAUGGGUUGUAAACUUCUUUUAUAAAGGAAUAAAGUCGGGUAUGCAUACCCGUUUGCAUGUACUUUAUGAAUAAGGAUCGGCUAACUCCGUGCCAGCAGCCGCGGUAAUACGGAGGAUCCGAGCGUUAUCCGGAUUUAUUGGGUUUAAAGGGAGCGUAGAUGGAUGUUUAAGUCAGUUGUGAAAGUUUGCGGCUCAACCGUAAAAUUGCAGUUGAUACUGGAUAUCUUGAGUGCAGUUGAGGCAGGCGGAAUUCGUGGUGUAGCGGUGAAAUGCUUAGAUAUCACGAAGAACUCCGAUUGCGAAG
RNAcentral lists this ribosomal RNA (675 nucleotides) under uncultured Bacteroidales bacterium. RNAcentral describes it as "bacterial SSU rRNA". It matches the Rfam family "Bacterial small subunit ribosomal RNA", at positions 56 to 720 of the family's 1533-position model. The record is from RNAcentral. Lineage: Bacteria; Pseudomonadati; Bacteroidota; Bacteroidia; Bacteroidales.